Molecule: non-coding RNA, 361 nt
Organism: Cryomorphaceae bacterium
Lineage: Bacteria; Pseudomonadati; Bacteroidota; Flavobacteriia; Flavobacteriales; Cryomorphaceae
Source: Rfam
GGGGGUGAUUUGGAUUCGACGCCGGUAUCAAAACCUUAGGUGCAUGCCGAGAGGGUAGUAACUCUCGUAAAUCAAUUACUGCAACUUUAUAGUUGCCAACGACGAAAGCUACGCCCUAGCAGCCUAAGAGCUUGCUAGCGAUUACCGCCGGGAUGCCCGUAAACUGGUAUUUGGUAAUCGUCAUCUAGAACGGGAUCGCCAGUGGAACGCGCUUGACGUGAAGCGGCUAAAUAGUAUCAAGCUCGCCCAAUUCACCCUGCCCGUCGGGCCGAUGAGGGUUAACCUAGUAGACGACGCUAUGCAUGUAGAGCCGAAGAUAGAGAGCUGACGGACGGGGGUUCAAUUCCCCCCGCCUCCACCA